Molecule: ribosomal RNA, 589 nt
Filed under: uncultured bacterium
Lineage: Bacteria
Description: partial 16S ribosomal RNA
Rfam family: Bacterial small subunit ribosomal RNA
Source: RNAcentral
UGGGGAAUCUUCCGCAAUGAACGAAAGUCUGACGGAGCAACGCCGCGUGAGUGAAGAAGGUUUUCGGAUCGUAAAACUCUGUCUUUUGGGGCGAACGUGAGUAUGGUGAACAAUCAUAGUCAGUGACGGUACCAAAGGAGGAAGCCACGGCUAACUACGUGCCAGCAGCCGCGGUAAUACGUAGGUGGCAAGCGUUGUCCGGAAUUAUUGGGCGUAAAGAGCGCGUAGGCGGGAUAGUCAGUCUGUUGUAAAAGUGCGGGGCUCAACCCCGUGAUCGCAAUGGAAACAGCUAUUCUUGAGUGCAGGAGAGGAAAGUGGAAUUCCCAGUGUAGCGGUGAAAUGCGUAGAUAUUGGGAGGAACACCAGUGGCGAAGGCGACUUUCUGGACUGUGUCUGACGCUGAGGCGCGAAAGCCAGGGGAGCGAACGGGAUUAGAUACCCCGGUAGUCCUGGCCGUAAACGAUGGGUACUAGGUGUGGGAGGUAUCGACCCCUUCCGUGCCGGAGUUAACGCAAUAAGUACCCCGCCUGGGGAGUACGGUCGCAAGACUGAAACUCAAAUGAAUUGACGGGGUCAUAGCUGUUUCCUG